This 341-nucleotide ribosomal RNA is filed under the name uncultured bacterium. RNAcentral describes it as "bacterial SSU rRNA". It matches the Rfam family "Bacterial small subunit ribosomal RNA", at positions 453 to 793 of the family's 1533-position model. The record is from RNAcentral.
UUAAUAGCAUAUUCAUUUGACGUUAGCUGCAGAAGAAGCACCGGCUAACUCCGUGCCAGCAGCCGCGGUAAUACGGAGGGUGCGAGCGUUAAUCGGAAUUACUGGGCGUAAAGCGCAUGCAGGUGGUUUGUUAAGUCAGAUGUGAAAGCCCGGGGCUCAACCUCGGAAUUGCAUUUGAAACUGGCAAACUAGAGUACUGUAGAGGGGGUAGAAUUUCAGGUGUAGCGGUGAAAUGCGUAGAGAUCUGAAGGAAUACCGGUGGCGAAGGCGGCCCCCUGGACAGAUACUGACACUCAGAUGCGAAAGCGUGGGGAGCAAACAGGAUUAGAUACCCUCGGUAG